UGGGUGACAUGGAUGAUAUGGAAGAUUUUGAAGGCUUUGGUGAUGAAGAUGAUGAUGGAGAUGAAGAUGAUAUGGAAGAGCCAGUAACAAAGAAACCCAAGCGAUCGGACUCUGAUUCAAGUUCAAAGAUUGGGCGGAAAUCUAGGAAGGUUAUCACCGAGGUGGUAGAAGACGAGGACAGGGGUAGCAGGCAAAGGACACGAAUGUGAUUCUUCAGGCACGGCUUCAGUAACAUGCUUGGUGUCGAUGAUGUUGUACUUUAGAUAAUUUUGCCUGUCUUUCUCGUGAUGACCGCAUCUCUCUUCUAUGUGAUGGUAGUUUAGAAGAUCGAUAUCGACUUGUAAUGUGAAGACAAACUCGCUACUCGCGGU
Molecule: long non-coding RNA, 371 nt
Organism: Hordeum vulgare subsp. vulgare (domesticated barley)
Lineage: Eukaryota; Viridiplantae; Streptophyta; Magnoliopsida; Poales; Poaceae
Exons: 3
Source: RefSeq, a predicted model, not a curated record